This is a non-coding RNA of Salmo salar (Atlantic salmon), 3407 nucleotides long. Lineage: Eukaryota; Metazoa; Chordata; Actinopteri; Salmoniformes; Salmonidae. The record is from RefSeq and is a predicted model, not a curated record.
CAGGACAGGUUGUUGACCUAAUACUCCCAGUACCUGGACAGACACAGGACAGGUUGUUGACCUAAUACUCCCUGUACCUGGACAGACACAGGACAGGUUGUUGACCUAAUACUCCCAGUACCUGGACAGACACAGGACAGGUUGUUGACCUAAUACUCCCAGUACCUGGACAGACACAGGACAGGUUGUUGACCUAAUACUCCCAGUACCUGGACAGACACAGGACAGGUUGUUGACCUAAUACUCCCAGUACCUGGACAGACACAGGACAGGUUGUUGACCUAAUACUCCCAGUACCUGGACAGACACAGGACAGGUUGUUGACCUAAUACUCCCAGUACCUGGACAGACACAGGACAGGUUGUUGACCUAAUACUUCCUGUACCUGGACAGACACAGGACAGGUUGUUGACCUAAUACUCCCAGUACCUGGACAGACACAGGACAGGUUGUUGACCUAAUACUUCCUGGACAGACACAGGACAGGUUGUUGACCUAAUACUUCCUGUACCUGGACAGACACAGGACAGGUUGUUGACCUAGUACUUCCUGUACCAGGACAGGUUGUUGACGUAGUACUUCCUGUACCAGGACAGGUUGUUGACGUAGUACUUCCUGUACCAGGACAGGUUGUUGUCCUGUGUCUGUAUAGUAACGCUUUACUUUACUCUGUUACUCAUAAAAGUAAUCUGAUUACGGAACGCUUUACUUUUGUAACACUGGUUAGGAGUCUCCCUCCCUCCCUCCCAGAUAGAACCAGUAGGUCCUCCUCUUCCUCCAAGGGUGAAUGAGGAAGAGCAGACAGACCGGACAGACCGGACAGUAUCAACCUGACCUGUCGAAGCAGGGUUUUAUACAGCUACUGUUAAACGAUGACCGGUGGGUUAGGGACAAAUCCAACAGUAAGUGUAGUGCCUCCUCUCCUCCUCUGUGGUGUGAAUCUCUUUCUCGCUUCUCUCUUUCUGGGUCUUUGGCCUUGUAACAGUAAGACUGUACCCUUUUUGACUGUUAAAAGCUCUGUCUGUGCGUAUUGAUAACGGCUGGUUGGCUGGGGCCUGUUUCAGCUCCUCCUCCUAACCACCUGGGCCAUGUUGUUGAACGUUGCAGAUAGACUAGAGCUGAUGUUAUUCUAUAUACUAGAUGUGUUCUACAUCACACUGCUCCUUUAUACGCAUGACCUUUGACCCCCCCGUACACUGAAAUUAGUUUUUUGGGGGGAGUUUUUCUUUAACUAUAUUUUUGGUGUUUGUUUCAUUAGUCCAUUGUUGACAUAGUCCCAAAAUGUUUUGCUUGUCAGCUAUGUCAACAACGGACUAAGGUGUGACGUUUUCCUUUCAACUAGUCAGAUCAAGGCCCAUGGUGUGUGUGUGCAGUAAUAUGCUAAUUAUAUGCAGAUCAGUGGAUGCCAAUCAGGUGGCAGCACACCUUCACAAAUUUAAAUAUCUCGCAGUGCUCAUCCCCUUUUUUUUUUUUUACCAAACGUAAUAAACUUGCUUAUAAUUUCUUGAUCUUAAAUAAGAUUCCCCCUUUAAAGCAAAAAAAUAUAUAUAAUAACCCAUAGGCUAUGUAUAUUAUAAAUACUGUUUAUAAUGAUAUAUAUUACGUACCUUCAUGCUUAAAACAGUUUAUACCGACAGACCAUAGUACGGAGGCAUGAGUCCGAUGACAUAAUAUGUACAUAAUGCUGAACCCGUUUCAAUGGAUGUUUUCUAGUGUGGUGUUUUAUAUGUGUGCAACUUCCCCUUUAAGACUUCAACACCCGUUGGAUCACUGACAGAGUGUGACAGCAUUAUAAAUGAGUCUGUUGCUCUCUCCUUUUCACCCCUCCCCCCCCCCUGAACUAGAAAAACAAAUACGAAGGAUUGAUAACAGAGGCAUUAUCAAUAACACAAGAUGUCUGCAUCUUACUAGAUCUACACGCUGGCUUCUCUCCAUCGCAGCGGGUCACGGUUCACUUCCGCUCAACAGUUCAUAUCAUCGUGUCUUCAUUCUUAUUUGGCUUCAGCUUUCCCUGUUUCUUCAUGACGUUGUAUCACCCUUAUUUAAGUUGCAUACGCAACCAGUUCAAUGGAAGCUGGCUAGUUGUUAAGUAGCUUGAGAUCCUUGAUCAGUAUUUCAGAUGCUCAGAGAGAACAUUCUCCAUGUCUGCUGGUUUUCUCUCUGCCGCCAUUUCACUGGCCAUAGUAUCUACUACUUUACAAAGUGGCCAAACAUCUAUACAUAUCUCUGCUCCUGUAACUGGCUGUGGUGUUCCCCAUCUCUGCUCCUGUAAAUGGCUGUGGUGUUACCCAUCUCUGCUCCUGUAACUGGCUGUGGUGUUUCCCAUCUCUGCUCCUGUAAAUGGCUGUGGUGUUCCCCAUCUCUGCUCCUGUAACUGGCUGUGGUGUUCCCCAUCUCUGCUCCUGGCUGUGGUGUUUCCCGUCUCUGCUCCUGUAACUGUCUGUGGUGUUUCCCGUCUCUGCUCCUGUAACUGGCUGUGGUGUUUCCCAUCUCUGCUCCUGUAACUGGCUGUGGUGUUUCCCAUCUCUGCUCCUGGCUGUGGUGUUACCCAUCUCUGCUCCUGUAACUGGCUGUGGUGUUCCCCAUCUCUGCUCCUGUAACUGGCUGUGGUGUUUCCCGUCUCUGCUCCUGUAACUGGCUGUGGUGUUUCCCGUCUCUGCUCCUGUAACUGUCUGUGGUGUUUCCCAUCUCUGCUCCUGGCUGUGGUGUUCCCCGUCUCUGCUCCUGUAACUGGCUGUGGUGUUUCCCAUCUCUGCUCCUGUAACUGGCUGUGGUGUUCCCCAUCUCUGCUCCUGUAACUGGCUGUGGUGUUUCCCAUCUCUGCUCCUGUAACUGUCUGUGGUGUUUCCCGUCUCUGCUCCUGUAACUGGCUGUGGUGUUUCCCAUCUCUGCUCCUGUCUGUGGUGUUCCCCAUCUCUGCUCCUGUAACUGUCUGUGGUGUUCCCCAUCUCUGCUCCUGUAAAUGGCUGUGGCGUUUCAUGCGACACCUAUCAGACUUCAUACCAAGUCAUUAAGUCACCAAGUCUAAUGCCAAGUCUAGAGCUCCCAGCUCAUUGGUUGAGAUGCUCAAUGAGAACAUUCUCUGUGUAGUGUAGGUCUACCCCCCUUUUGAUUGCACUUGCUUUUUCUAUAUAACGUUACGAUGCCUUCUAUAUAACGUUAAAAUGCCAUCAACGACGUUGAAAUGCCUUCUAUAUAACGUUACAAUGCCAUAAUGGGACAUAGUGUCUACUGGCUCAGUAUCUCCACAGAGAGAGAGCCAGCGAGGUGGAUGACAUUACAGUGCCAUGCCACCUUUAGGGCCACGUAGGACUAGACGUCUGCUGCACAGCAUUACAGGCCCUUAACCCACCUACAGAAGGCACCUACAGGCCCUUAACCCACCUACAGGCCCUUAACCCACCUAC